This 507-nucleotide ribosomal RNA is filed under the name Hypogeophis pti. RNAcentral describes it as "partial 16S ribosomal RNA". It matches the Rfam family "Bacterial large subunit ribosomal RNA", at positions 1912 to 2606 of the family's 2925-position model. The record is from RNAcentral. Lineage: Eukaryota; Metazoa; Chordata; Amphibia; Gymnophiona; Indotyphlidae.
CCCAGUAUCCUAUUCACGGCCGCGGUAUUCUGACCGUGCAAAGGUAGCAUAAUCAUUUGUCUUUUAAAUAAAGACUAGUAUGAAUGGCACCACGAAAGCUUAACUGUCUCCCUUGCUUAGUCAAUGAAACUGAUUUUCCCGUACAAAAGCGGGGAUAUUAAAAUAAGACGAGAAGACCCUAUGGAACUUAAAACACGCAAUCACUUUAACUUAAUAUAACAGCAAUAAAUGACUGAACUAUGCUGUUUUUGGUUGGGGCGACCACGGAGCAAAACCCAACCUCCGAGAACACUACCCAGAUAGACACAACAAAGUACCAAAACUUUGGAUUUAGACCCAAUAAACUUGAUCACCGAACCAAGCUACCCUAGGGAUAACAGCGCAAUCUUCUUCAAGAGCCCUUAUCACCAAGAAGGUUUACGACCUCGAUGUUGGAUCAGGAUACCCAGACAGUGCAGCCGCCGUCAAAGGUUUGUUUGUUCAACAAUUAAUAAUCCUACGUGAUCU